AUUGAACGCUGGCGGCAGGCUUAACACAUGCAAGUCGAACGAUGAAGAUAUAGCUUGCUAUAUCGGAUUAGUGGCGGACGGGUGAGUAACACUUAGGAAUCUACCUUUUAGCGGGGGAUAGCUCGGGGAAACUCGAAUUAAUACCGCGUAAUUUCUACGGAAUAAAGAGGGCUUUUGGCUCUCACUAGAAGAUGAGCCUAAGUAAGAUUAGCUAGUUGGUGGGGUAAAAGCCUACCAAGGCGACGAUCUUUAGCUGGUCUGAGAGGAUGAUCAGCCACACUGGGACUGAGACACGGCCCAGACUCCUACGGGAGGCAGCAGUGGGGAAUAUUGGACAAUGGGGGCAACCCUGAUCCAGCCAUGCCGCGUGUGUGAAGAAGGCCUUUUGGUUGUAAAGCACUUUAAGCAGUGAAGAAGACCUAUUGGUUAAUACCCAAUAGCGAUGACAUUAACUGCAGAAUAAGCACCGGCUAACUCUGUGCCAGCAGCCGCGGUAAUACAGAGGGUGCAAGCGUUAAUCGGAAUUACUGGGCGUAAAGCGAGCGUAGGUGGUUAAAUAAGUCAGAUGUGAAAGCCCUGGGCUCAACCUAGGAACGGCAUCUGAAACUAUUUAACUAGAGUAGGUGAGAGGGAAGUAGAAUUUCAGGUGUAGCGGUGAAAUGCGUAGAGAUCUGAAGGAAUACCGAUGGCGAAGGCAGCUUCCUGGCAUCAUACUGACACUGAGGCUCGAAAGCGUGGGUAGCAAACAGG
Molecule: ribosomal RNA, 750 nt
Filed under: uncultured bacterium
Lineage: Bacteria
Description: bacterial SSU rRNA
Rfam family: Bacterial small subunit ribosomal RNA
Source: RNAcentral